CCUCUCUUCCCUUUCUGUGUCAUCUUUAGGCUGAGUUGAUACAGUGAGUUUGACAAGUAAACUUGUCAUUUGUGACAGGGUGAUAAAGCAUUAUUAUCUAAAGUUAUUCCUAUAGAAGCCUUUGGAAAACACUCACAGAAUCUGCACUCGAAGAAUUAGAGUUGGAAGGAGCCCUAAAAAUAAUUUCUAGGCAAUACCUGUAUUAUUCCAGAUGUGAUCUUCAGAGGAAAAGAUUAUAUGCUAUAGAAAUUCCCUUUUAAAUUAUUGUAGAAUUUUAAUAACGCUCAUUUUCAUAAUGUUUUACAACAGAAUGAAAUCUUCUGUUGUAGUUUGUCAGGUGCUUCGUGCUCUGGGGAGACAGACAGGUGCUGCUCUGCCGUGUGGCCUUUGCACACAGAGAGUACAGUUGGGAAGUCCUCCCGCAGCCUUCUGGACUCCAGUUCUUUGACUUUCCUUGUGGUUCAUGACCUUUACCCGGUGGUUUCUUCUGAAAAUACUAAUCUUAUGUGCUGCUUUCAGUAAGUAGCACUUUGUAACCUCUAAAGCAUUAUGCAAUGUAAACGAUUAUUAUAUUAUUAUGAAGGUGGUAGAUCUUUGAACUGUACAAUUGUAAAUGCAGUCCAGUGUUUGCUUUUAAUGCUUCUCAAUCAAUUUGUUCCUGAAAAUUGUCAAGUCUGUACUUUAUACUCCAUUUCAUCACUUUUCUGAUGCUUAUAACUGUUUUCUUUAAAUUCAGCUCUGAUGAACAUACACCAGUAGAGGAUGAAGAGCCAAAGAAAAGUACCACUUCAUCUUCUACCUCAGGAGAAGAAAAGAAGAAGAAGAAGAAAUCCAGUCGUUCAAAAGAAAGGUCCAAGAAAAGGAGAAAGAAAAAAUCAUCUAAAAGAAAGCACAAGAAGUAUUCUGACGAUAGUGACAGUGACUCUGAUUCUGAAACAGACUCCAGUGACUAAAGUCCAUUGAGGCCAAAGUCCUGUUGUCACGAGGAUUCAAACCAUUACCAACUGAUGAAUUAGCUGUCUUCCUGGGACCCCUAGAUGGGCAGCCUUACUAUCCUAAUCUCCACUAUCCCAACAGUCAGCAAGCAGAAGGACCCAAAUUACCACACCGUCCCUCACUAGCAGGAAGCAGCCAGAGCGGUCAUCGCCCCUCAUCCCAGUAAUUUGGGUCCCAGAUGCUUGAGGGGGGAAUGUUAGGCAGAAAGACAGAAAUGAGUGGGAUGAAAAGGAGAGAGCACCCUCCAAAAAUGGCUCAGGGAGUUGAUUAGAUAGAGCCAGAGAGUCAGAAAUGACUCAGAGAGUUAAUCAGAUGAAGCCACAGGGUCCAAAAGUGACUCAGGAAGUGCCCAGGGUCCCCCCAGAUAAGAAACAUCAGAAGCACAGGCACAGCACAGCCUCUGUCCUCAUUUCACCAAUCAGAACAAGCCUAGAGAGCUGACAGCUGUCAAUUACGGACCUCUCUGCCCUGCCAAAACCACAUAAAAGAAGCCUCAGAAUGAGGAUCUGGGCCUGUCUCACCUUAGGCAGGCUCGCUCUGUUACUCUCUGCAGGGUGCACUGAAACUUACUUUGCUUUCUUGACUUCGGUUCUCGUCUCACUAUAUCUGACUUCCCUGAGACACUGAGUCUAGUUCCUUCCUUCCAAAUACAUCCACCACAUGACAAUCCAGAAAGCCAUCACUUGUUGGCAUAGGAAGAGAUGAAACUUCAUCUAGAUAAUGGUAAGGAAACUUAGGCCUUUACACCCACAUAUUUGGAUCUUGGCUCAGCCCAUUGCAGCCUGUGUGUUCAUUUUCUAUUGCUGUGUAACUACCACAAAUUCAGCUGCUUAAACUAACACAAAUUUAUUAUCUCAUGGGUUCCCUGUGUCAGCAGCCUGGGCAUGGCUUAACUGGUCCUCUGUUCAGAGUCUCAUAGCCUGCAAUCAAGGUGUCAGUUAGCCAUAGCACGGAGAGCACAGAAACUCAACUGGGGAAGCAUCCACUCCCAAGCUCACUCAGGUUGUUGGCAGAAUUCAUUUCCGUGUGGUUUUAGGACUGAGGUCCCCAUUUGCUAGCUGCCUGUCUGCCAAGGGCCCCUCUCUGCUCCUAAGGGCUGCUUGAAGUUCCUUGCCAUGUGGCCCACAGCACAGGCAAUCUCACAUCAUGGGCACGUACUUCUUCUGAGCAGCAAGGGGGUCUCUUUCCCCAGCGUGCUCACGCAGCGUCUUGUAUAAGGCAACAUGAUCACAGCAGUGACAUUCCCAUUACACUUGCCAUAUUCUGUUGGCGAGAAGCAAACCAUAGGUCCCACUCACUCUCAACCUGGGGAUGGUACAGGGAGUUAUAGGUAUCAUGACAACUAUAACUUAUUUUUGAAAGGUUCAGGAGACAGAGAAGAAAUAUGACAACACUAACAUCUCUUCAACCACAAUGCUAUUAGUGCAUCUAACCUAUAUAACUACAAUGCUAUUACCACAUCUAAAAAUUUUUUUAAUAAUGUAAUAAUAUCAUCAUCUAUCUGGUCCAUAUUCAGAUUUCCCAGUUGUUGCAAGUGUCUUUUGUGGUUAUUUUUAGAAUAGGUAUCUAGUUCAUGCUUUGUAUUUGUGUUGCAUUUAGAUACUAUGUCUCUUCAAGUUAUUUUGAUCUGUAACACAUCUGUUUCCCACCUUGUUUCCCCAUGACACUGGCUUUUUGAAAAGUUGUCUUGUAGAUUGUCCCACCCCCUGGAUUACUCUGUUAGUUUUAUUAUGGUGUCAUUUAAUUUGUUCCAAUGUCCCCUGCUCAAAUCAACUGCAGGGUAGAUCUAGAAAUGUAAUUGAAUCAAUUGAGAUUACACAUUUUGACAAGAAUACAUCCUAAAUAUUGAUGUUGUUUCUCCUUUAUAUAUUUAAAAGUUGGUAUUCUUUUAAAAAUAAAUCUUUCUUUUUACCUCUCCCCAUAUUUUCUCUCCCUUCCUCUCCCUCUCUUUCAUUAUGGACUCAUGUGUUUUUAAGCCAGUGUAUUCAUUGGGUUUUUUUAAAUUCUUUAUUUCUAUUCUUUUUGGUGGUCAAGUUGUCCCACGUUUUGCUAACAGAAACCCCUUUAAACUGUUUCUGAUUCCUUUUGGCAUGACCGCAUUGGUCUUUGAGCAUAUACUUGUUUUCUGGAACAGAAAAAUUUCCUGAGUAACUCUUACACUUUUCUUGCCCUCAACCUGAAAUCAGCCAUUUCACCAAGGAACCCUGAUUCUUUCAGUAGGAAAUAGUAUCUUGAAACCAAUACCUUGGCAUAAAUAAAUUACUUUAGAACAUGCCAGUACUCACAUUUUAAUGAUAUAUAUUUUGAAACCAAAAUACACAGCACUCUUUGGUGCUGUGACCCAGGUGCUUUCCAACGUGCUGGUAAAUGACAUUGCCUAGACAUGUAAGGCCCCUACCUGAUCCCCUUCUGCCCCAGGAGUUAACUUACAUUCCUUCCCUUCCAAAAGUUGGCACCCACGAGCCUUAGCCUCUGGACAGCCUGACGCUGUGAAAGACUUGGCCACGCAAAGCUGUCAAAACCUCACCCAAAUAAAACUUGUA
Long non-coding RNA from Manis pentadactyla (Chinese pangolin), 3539 nucleotides. RefSeq lists it as uncharacterized. The record is from RefSeq and is a predicted model, not a curated record. The transcript has 3 exons. NCBI's taxonomy places the organism in Eukaryota, Metazoa, Chordata, Mammalia, Pholidota, Manidae.